Molecule: non-coding RNA, 93 nt
Organism: Mycena leptocephala
Lineage: Eukaryota; Fungi; Basidiomycota; Agaricomycetes; Agaricales; Mycenaceae
Source: the annotation of a GenBank genome assembly
GCUGCUGUGGCUCAAGGUAGCGUGUCCUCCUCUGGUAGACUGAGGUCAUUCUCAUUUGUGAGGAAGGUGUGGGUUCGAAUCCCACCAGUAGCA